This 650-nucleotide long non-coding RNA is filed under the name Jatropha curcas. Its description in RNAcentral is "long non-coding RNA (JCUR_LNC003344)". Lineage: Eukaryota; Viridiplantae; Streptophyta; Magnoliopsida; Malpighiales; Euphorbiaceae. The record is from RNAcentral.
AAUCAUCUUGUCAUUUUAAAGAAGCAAUUAAGUUUGUCAUUUAUAAUAAUUAAGAAAGGAAAACUCUCCAAGCAUGGAUUUUUUGUAAAAGCGAAUGAGUAGGCAAGUUUAAUGAGAAGAUGGUAGCAGCAAUUCUAUUGAGAUUAUCAAUGAUACAAAUAACUACUACCAUCUUCCUGAAGCUUGAGCUCUCCAUUUCCAAACGAAUUGUCUCAAUAUAAGAUGGUGUGACAUGCCUCAUCAGACUUUCAAAUUCUGAAUUCACCGGUGGUUCAUGUAAUUGGGCAAGGAUGGUGUGCAAGAGGUUUGGGGUUUAUGUUAUUUGCAAGGAUCAUGCUUGUGAACAUUUCAUUAUAGACAUGGGAAUUCUUAUCAUGCCUUUGUUUAUUGCAGCAUCAAUAGAGCUUAGGGGAAGAUAAUUCUUAAUGUGGGAGAGUACCUUCUACAGUUACAAGAACUGAUGGACAUAAAAAUGUAAUUGCAAAAAUUCAUGAAAAGAAGUUCAGGAGAACUAAUGAUAGAUGCAAAAACAUCAACAGAAAGGAUGUAAUGCAGUACCAGUACUAUAAAAUUUUGCAGCUCAACAGAAAUUGCAGUUUAAAUUUUUUGCUCUGAUCAACUGAAAUAUCGAAGUUAGGUUUAUAUGUUUG